UACAGGGGGUGCAAACGUUGCUCGGAAUUAUUGGGCGUAAAGCGCGCGUAGGCGGCCACUUAAGUCGGAUGUGAAAGCCCCUGGCUCAACUGGGGAAGUGCACCCGAAACUGAAUGGCUUGAGUGCGAAAGAGGGUCGCGGAAUUCCCGGUGUAGAGGUGAAAUUCGUAGAUAUUAGGAAGAACACCAGUGGCGAAGGCGGCUCACUGGCCCGGUACUGACGCUGAGGCGCGAAAGCGUGGGGAGCAAACAGG
Molecule: ribosomal RNA, 253 nt
Filed under: uncultured bacterium
Lineage: Bacteria
Description: partial 16S ribosomal RNA
Rfam family: Bacterial small subunit ribosomal RNA
Source: RNAcentral